RNAcentral lists this long non-coding RNA (240 nucleotides) under Setaria italica (foxtail millet). RNAcentral describes it as "long non-coding RNA (SITA_LNC000312)". The record is from RNAcentral. Lineage: Eukaryota; Viridiplantae; Streptophyta; Magnoliopsida; Poales; Poaceae.
GGGAUUCGGUGUUACACUGAUGCAUCAAUUCCACCAGAGAACCAAAUUGUUGGACCCACACCGGCUGGACUAGGGAUUUACAUCCAUGAUCCCCAUCACCCGGACCGUCCGGCAAUUAUGAUCAAGGCACAGAUCAACAACAUGAGCACUCCAUUGCAGGCAGAAGCCCAGGCGAUGCUACUUGCAGCCAAAGUGGUACAUCAGCUCCAGCUACAGAAUGUCGCCUACCACACAGAUUGU